ACGAACCGACCUAAGAUCAUCGUGAUCUAGUGGCUUUCGCGGAGAACCUCGCUGCCGCUCUUGCCGACGAGGAAA
This 75-nucleotide small RNA is filed under the name Sinorhizobium meliloti 2011. RNAcentral's name for it is "putative ncRNA". Lineage: Bacteria; Pseudomonadati; Pseudomonadota; Alphaproteobacteria; Hyphomicrobiales; Rhizobiaceae. The record is from RNAcentral.